Molecule: ribosomal RNA, 333 nt
Filed under: uncultured bacterium
Lineage: Bacteria
Description: bacterial SSU rRNA
Rfam family: Bacterial small subunit ribosomal RNA
Source: RNAcentral
ACGGGUGAGUAACGCGUGAGAAUCUGCCCUCAGGAGGGGGAUAACAGCUGGAAACGGCUGCUAAUACCCCAUAUGCCGCGAGGUGAAAUGAAUUUCGCCUGAGGAUGAGCUCGCGUCUGAUUAGCUAGUUGGUGUAGGUAAUGGCUCACCAAGGCAUCGAUCAGUAGCUGGUCUGAGAGGAUGAUCAGCCACACUGGGACUGAGACACGGCCCAGACUCCUACGGGAGGCAGCAGUGGGGAAUUUUCCGCAAUGGGCGAAAGCCUGACGGAGCAACGCCGCGUGAGGGAUGAAGGCCUCUGGGCUGUAAACCUCUUUUAUCAAGGAAGAAGAU